UGCGCAGGCGGCUCGUUAAGUCGGAUGUGAAAUCUCACAGCCUAACUGUGAUAGGUCAUUCGAAACUGGCGGGCUCGAGGACUGGAGAGGAGACUGGAAUAGUCGGUGUAGCGGUGAAAUGCGUAGAGAUCGACUAGAACACCGGUGGCGAAGGCGGGUCUCUGGACAGUUCCUGACGCUCAGGCACGAAAGCCAGGGGAGCAAACG
This 207-nucleotide ribosomal RNA is filed under the name uncultured bacterium. RNAcentral describes it as "partial 16S ribosomal RNA". It matches the Rfam family "Bacterial small subunit ribosomal RNA", at positions 568 to 774 of the family's 1533-position model. The record is from RNAcentral.